AUUGAGUGGCGAACGGGUGAGUAAUACAUCGGAACGUGUCCUGGAGUGGGGGAUAGCCCGGCGAAAGCCGGAUUAAUACCGCAUACGCUCUGAGGAGGAAAGCGGGGGAUCUUUCGGGACCUCGCGCUCAAGGGGCGGCCGAUGGCAGAUUAGCUAGUUGGUGGGGUAAAGGCCUACCAAGGCGACGAUCUGUAGCUGGUCUGAGAGGACGACCAGCCACACUGGGACUGAGACACGGCCCAGACUCCUACGGGAGGCAGCAGUGGGGAAUUUUGGACAAUGGGCGCAAGCCUGAUCCAGCAAUGCCGCGUGUGGGAAGAAGGCCUUCGGGUUGUAAAGCACUUUCGGACGGAACGAAAUCGCGCGGGUGAAUAUCCCGCGUGGAUGACGGUACCGUAAGAAGAAGCACCGGCUAACUACGUGCCAGCAGCCGCGGUAAUG
This 441-nucleotide ribosomal RNA is filed under the name uncultured bacterium. RNAcentral describes it as "bacterial SSU rRNA". It matches the Rfam family "Bacterial small subunit ribosomal RNA", at positions 90 to 525 of the family's 1533-position model. The record is from RNAcentral.